UACAUAGGGGGCGAGCGUUGUCCGGAAUCAUUGGGCGUAAAGCGCAUGUAGGCGGCCAUGUAAGUCGAAUGUGAAAUCCCGAAGCUCAACUUCGGAACUGCAUCCGAUACUGCAUGGCUUGAGGAAGGUAGAGGAGAGUGGAAUUCCCGGUGUAGCGGUGGAAUGCGCAGAUAUCGGGAGGAACACCAGCGGCGAAGGCGGCUCUCUGGGCCUUUCCUGACGCUGAGAUGCGAAAGUGUGGGUAGCGAACAGG
This 253-nucleotide ribosomal RNA is filed under the name uncultured bacterium. Its description in RNAcentral is "partial 16S ribosomal RNA". It matches the Rfam family "Bacterial small subunit ribosomal RNA", at positions 524 to 776 of the family's 1533-position model. The record is from RNAcentral.